GAUGAACGCUGGCGGCGUGCCUAAUACAUGCAAGUAGAACGCUGAAGGAAGGAGCUUGCUCUUUCCGGAUGAGUUGCGAACGGGUGAGUAACGCGUAGGUAACCUGCCUGGUAGCGGGGGAUAACCAUUGGAAACGAUAGCUAAUACCGCAUAACAGUAGAUGUUUCAUGAUAUCUACUUAAAAGGUGCAAUUGCACCACUACCAUAUGGACCUGCGUUGUAUUAGCUAGUUGGUGAGGUAACGGCUCACCAAGGCGACGAUACAUAGCCGACCUGAGAGGGUGAUCGGCCACACUGGGACUGAGACACGGCCCAGACUCCUACGGGAGGCAGCAGUAGGGAAUCUUCGGCAAUGGACGGAAGUCUGACCGAGCAACGCCGCGUGAGUGAAGAAGGUUUUCGGAUCGUAAAGCUCUGUUGUAAGAGAAGAACGAGUGUGAGAGUGGAAAGUUCACAAUGUGACGGUAUCUUACCAGAAAGGGACGGCUAACUACGUG
RNAcentral lists this ribosomal RNA (497 nucleotides) under uncultured bacterium. RNAcentral describes it as "partial 16S ribosomal RNA". It matches the Rfam family "Bacterial small subunit ribosomal RNA", at positions 28 to 507 of the family's 1533-position model. The record is from RNAcentral.